UAAAGCGGGUGAAAAGCCCGCUCGCCGGAAGACCAAGGGUUCCUGUCCAACGUUAAUCGGGGCAGGGUGAGUCGACCCCUAAGGCGAGGCCGAAAGGCGUAGUCGAUGGGAAACAGGUUAAUAUUCCCGUACUUGGUGUUACUGCGAAGGGGGGACGGAGAAGGCUAUGUUGGCCGGGCGACGGUUGUCCCGGUUUAAGCGUGUAGGCUGGUUUUCCAGGCAAAUCCGGAAAAUCAAGGCUGAGGCGUGAUGACG
RNAcentral lists this ribosomal RNA (255 nucleotides) under Salmonella enterica subsp. enterica serovar Kentucky. RNAcentral describes it as "partial 23S ribosomal RNA". It matches the Rfam family "Bacterial large subunit ribosomal RNA", at positions 1313 to 1571 of the family's 2925-position model. Lineage: Bacteria; Pseudomonadati; Pseudomonadota; Gammaproteobacteria; Enterobacterales; Enterobacteriaceae. The record is from RNAcentral.